UACGUAGGGUGCAAGCGUUGUCCGGAAUUAUUGGGCGUAAAGAGCUCGUAGGCGGUCUGUCGCGUCGGCUGUGAAAACCUGGGGCUUAACUCCGGGCCUGCAGCCGAUACGGGCAGACUAGAGUUCGGCAGGGGAGACUGGUAUUCCUGGUGUAGCGGUGAAAUGCGCAGAUAUCAGGAGGAACACCGGUGGCGAAGGCGGGUCUCUGGGCCGAAACUGACGCUGAGGAGCGAAAGCGUGGGGAGCAAACAGG
RNAcentral lists this ribosomal RNA (253 nucleotides) under uncultured bacterium. RNAcentral describes it as "partial 16S ribosomal RNA". It matches the Rfam family "Bacterial small subunit ribosomal RNA", at positions 524 to 776 of the family's 1533-position model. The record is from RNAcentral.